UGUGUAGGCGGUUGUUUAAGUUUGGUGUGAAAUCUCCCGGCUCAACUGGGAGGGUGCGCCGAAUACUGAAUGACUCGAGUGCGGGAGAGGAAAGUGGAAUUCCUGGUGUAGCGGUGAAAUGCGUAGAUAUCAGGAGGAACACCGGUGGUGUAGACGGCUUUCUGGACCGUAACUGACGCUGAAACACGAAAGCGUGGGUAGCAAACGGGAUUAGAUACCCUGGUAGUCCACGCCCUAAACGAUGCACAUUUGGUGUGGGUCAUUCAGUUGAUCCGUGCCGGAGCUAACGCGUUAAAUGUGCCGCCUGGGGAGUACAGUCGCAAGGCUGAA
Molecule: ribosomal RNA, 330 nt
Filed under: uncultured bacterium
Lineage: Bacteria
Description: bacterial SSU rRNA
Rfam family: Bacterial small subunit ribosomal RNA
Source: RNAcentral